ACCGGCGGAUGGGUGAGUAACGCGUAUGCAACCUACCUUUUACAGGGGAAUAGCCCGGAGAAAUUCGGAUUAAUGCUCCAUGGUUUAUAGAGAUGGCAUCAUUUUUAUAAUAAAGAUUUAUCGGUAAAAGAUGGGCAUGCGUAUCAUUAGCUAGUUGGUGUGGUAACGGCAUACCAAGGCGACGAUGAUUAGGGGUCCUGAGAGGGAGAUCCCCCACACUGGUACUGAGACACGGACCAGACUCCUACGGGAGGCAGCAGUGAGGAAUAUUGGUCAAUGGAGGUAACUCUGAACCAGCCAUGCCGCGUGCAGGAUGACGGUCCUAUGGAUUGUAAACUGCUUUUGUACGGGAAGAAAUAUAGUUACGUGUAAUUAUUUGACGGUACCGUAAGAAUAAGGAUCGGCUAACUCCGUGCCAGCAGCCGCGGUAAUACGGAGGAUCCGAGCGUUAUCCGGAAUUAUUGGGUUUAAAGGGUUCGUAGGCGGUUUAGUAAGUCAGUGGUGAAAUCUUGCAGCUUAACUGUAAAAUUGCCGUUGAUACUGCUAAACUUGAAUAGUAUGGAAGUAAUUAGAAUAUGUAGUGUAGCGGUGAAAUGCUUAGAUAUUACAUGGAAUACCAAUUGCGAAGGCAGAUUACUACGUACUUAUUGACGCUGAUGAACGAAAGCGUGGGUAGCGAACAGGAUUAGAUACCCUGGUAGUCCACGCCGUAAACGAUGGAUACUAGCUGUUCGGUCUUCGGAUUGAGUGGCUAAGCGAAAGUGAUAAGUAUCCCACCUGGGGAGUACGUUCGCAAGAAUGAAACUCAAAGGAAUUGACGGGGGCCCGCACAAGCGGUGGAGCAUGUGGUUUAAUUCGAUGAUACGCGAGGAACCUUACCAAGGCUUAAAUGUAGAUUGACAGGUUUAGAGAUAGACUUUUCUUCGGACAAUUUACAAGGUGCUGCAUGGUUGUCGUCAGCUCGUGCCGUGAGGUGUCAGGUUAAGUCCUAUAACGAGCGCAACCCCUAUUGUUAGUUGCCAGCGAGUAAUGUCGGGAACUCUAGCAAGACUGCCGGUGCAAACCGUGAGGAAGGUGGGGAUGACGUCAAAUCAUCACGGCCCUUACGUCUUGGGCUACACACGUGCUACAAUGGCCAGUACAGAAAGCAGCUACCAGGCAACUGGAUGCGAAUCUCAAAAGCUGGUCUCAGUUCGGAUUGGAGUCUGCAACUCGACUCUAUGAAGCUGGAAUCGCUAGUAAUCGGAUAUCAGCCAUGAUCCGGUGAAUACGUUCCCGGGCCUUGUACACACCGCCCGUCAAGCCAUGGAAGCUGGGGGUACCUGAAGUCGGUCGCC
This 1337-nucleotide ribosomal RNA is filed under the name uncultured Myroides sp. RNAcentral describes it as "bacterial SSU rRNA". It matches the Rfam family "Bacterial small subunit ribosomal RNA", at positions 94 to 1435 of the family's 1533-position model. Lineage: Bacteria; Pseudomonadati; Bacteroidota; Flavobacteriia; Flavobacteriales; Flavobacteriaceae. The record is from RNAcentral.